GUUCUCAGGGUCAGUGGUUUCCCCUCCACCCAGCACCAAUGCAGGGACAGCUGCUCUCCUUGCUGCUCCUGCUCUGAGGUGGGCUUUUAUUUUAAGUCUAAGAUGUCAGAUUUCUGACCUCAUUUUGGAGAGACAUCCGGUUUUGUUUCUGAUGCCCCAUCCUCUGUGCAACUGUCUAAACAGAAAAAUAAAUUCCACUUUGGUUCCCGCCAAUUCCUUAUACGACUGCUGUGGAUUCCAUCCUUCAAUGCCAGCCCAGUAAUGCACUUACAAAGAUGCAUUUUGUAGGUUUACCCAACAUCUCAGUUGUUUUCGUUGGGAAAGCUAUUUAGUGUCCCUUAUGUUGAAAGUUGGAAGCGCCUGGCAGCACUAUAGGUGAGAGAGCUGCUCUUCCCCCUUUUCAUCAUCUUCACGCUGGGUCCAGGCCUUCUUCACUCUGUGAUUAAGAUGCCACAAUGGGCCGGGCAUGGUGGCUCAUGCCUGUAAUCUUAGCACUUUAGGAGGCCAAGGUGGGUGAAUCACCCGAGGCCAGGGGUUCAAGACCAACCUUACCAACAUGGUGAAACUCCGUCUCUACUAAGAGUACCAAAAAUUAGCCCGGCAUGGUGGUGGGUGCCUGUAAUCCAACUACUCUGGAAGCUGAGGCGGGAGAAUCGCUUGAACCAAGGAGGUGGAGGUUGCAGUGAGCUGAGAUCACGCCAUUGCACUCCAACCUGGGCAACAGAAGUAGCUGGGAUUACAGGCACCCACCACCAUGCCGGGCUAAUUUUGGUACUCUUAGUAGAGGCGGAGUUUCACCAUGUUGGCAAGGUUGGUCUUGAACCCCUGGCCUCGGGUGAUUCACCCACCUUGGCCUCCUAAAGUGCUAAGAUUACAGGCAUGAGCCACCAUGCCCGGCCCAUUGUGGCAUCUUAAUCACAGAGUGAAGAAGGCCUGGACCCAGCGUGAAGAUGAUGAAAAGGGGGAAGAGCAGCUCUCUCACCUAUAGUGCUGCCAAGCUUCAACUUUCAACAUAAGGGACACUAAAUAGCUUUCCCAACGAAAACAACUGAGAUGUUGGGUAAAACCUACAAAAAUGCAUCUUUGUAAGUGCAUUACUGGGCUGGCAUUGAAGGAUGGAAUCCACAGC
This 1129-nucleotide long non-coding RNA is filed under the name Macaca fascicularis (crab-eating macaque). RNAcentral's name for it is "lncRNA (ENSMFAG00000056151.1)". The record is from RNAcentral. Lineage: Eukaryota; Metazoa; Chordata; Mammalia; Primates; Cercopithecidae.